Molecule: RNA transcript, 4791 nt
Organism: Hydractinia symbiolongicarpus
Lineage: Eukaryota; Metazoa; Cnidaria; Hydrozoa; Anthoathecata; Hydractiniidae
Exons: 5
Source: RefSeq, a predicted model, not a curated record
UCCUUUUUGUAGUCUAGUAAACCAUACCAUGGAGGAAGAAAGAGUAAACUAAAUUCAUUCAAAAUAUAGGUCAAUAGCGAUAGCAGGGAAGACAGGCUUGUAUCCUUUUUAGCCUUUUUGAGAAAGUGGCAAAGGUUAAAUAUACAUACCUGUCUUGUUGUCUCUCUUUUUCCCUGAUAAACUAGAAGAGUAAAACUGAAACUUUCCACAUAAACUAAGGAGGCAAAAAUACUCAUGUCUCACCUGCCCUGCUAUCUUAGCCAGUUUUCACCAAGGUGAUGAUAGGUUUAGUAUUGCUAUCCUGUGGUACUCCUCACAACCUCACAAUAGAUUCAUUACUUAACCUAUUUUAUUUUCUUUUAUAGUAUUUUACAGAGUUUAUUAUAAAUACACUAUAUAACUUGAUAAUGUACUAUACCUAUGGAUGUGUAUAUAUACAUAAACUCAGUUUAUACCCAACAGAAACUUCUAUGUUGUAGCAUUGUGAAAAUAUAUCUUAGAACUCAAAUGAUUUUAUGGCACUGUCUGUAGUAGUGGUUAAACUCUCGAACUUUGUGCGAGAAGAACCGGGGUUUGAUUCCACUGGUGGCGAUUCAAUAUGGGCGAGUGAAUGUUACCAUAGCCCCGGAUUAACUGAAGCCAUGUGAGGAAAACUGGGUAGAUGGCAAAAUGUGUGGGCAUGUUGCAUUAAUUGCAUGUUGCAUUAAUUUUUUUAGUAGAGUGCAGACCCUAAUUGGGUUUGCAUAGCUCAAAAUGAGCAUAGAUACUCUAGGACUCCCCAUCUAAGCAACUGCCCCUCCUGGAAAUAAUAGACAGUGUAUAUCCCUUAAUAUUUGUGAGGCUAGCCAUGUAAAAUAUACACAUUUAUCUAUCUAUCUUUAAUGAUAAUGAAUAUAUACCUGUUUUUUCUUUGUUAGAAAUAUCUCUAAAAUAAAAUGAGCCUUAAAAAACCCCAAAAUUUUAAGAAAACUUUAAGAAAAUCUCCAGCCUCAGUGUGGUAAGAUUCAAUUUUUGUAGGCCUUGAUUUUUACAUUUACAGUUAUUAAAUCACCAUAAUUUCAAAAACACAACACAAUCAAAUUUGAUCCUAACAAAGUUUUUUCCCAAAAAAUAACAAAAGAAGUCUUUUUCUCUUCAUUAUAAAAUAAAAGAUAUUUUUUAAAAAAUACAUAACUAUAACUUCAAAUAAAAGAAUACAACUAAUUCAGUUUGAGAAAGUGAAAAUAGAAACAAAAAAUGAAGAAAACAUUUGCUAAGAAAAUUGGGGCUUAAUUCAAAAAACAUUUUUCUUAUAAAAAACGUGCAUGUUUUAGAACAAGGGGAUGCACUUUCUUGUCAUUUUUAAAAACCUGUUAUCAUUAGUAAUGUAUUAUAAGGCAUAUAUAUUCACAAAAUGCUCAUGCGUUAUUAUAUUCAAUAUGUAAACAUGUUUAGCAAUAUCACUGAAUCUUUGCAUCAAGUAAUACUUUAAGCUCAUAACUAAGAAAACCAAAAACUUUCCCAAACGUAUUAAAACCCAUCAACGUGUUCUAAAGCUUCCUUUUCCUAAUACUGACAAUCUUGAAAAACAGAAGUGUGUCAAUCUACAAUCUGAUAUUGCUUAUAUUGAUUUUAUAAAGAAUGUAGAAUCAUUUGCGUCAAAAAUCUUCAAAGGACCACUGUAUGUGUGUUAUAUGCAAUCGAUCAUCAUUUUUAUUAAAAAGCAAUGCAAAAAAUAAUGAUACCUUUGGUGGUAAAAAGUAUUUUGUCACACCAAAAUGCUUGAAAAAUGGGAUACUGUCCCAGGCUGUUUACAAUUUAUUAUAAAUGAAAUUCCAGAUUACCUGCAAUCAUUAAUAUGUCUUAAAGCCGCACUAACAUCGAAGCAAUUGUUAUUGAAAAAUAUCAUUAUUUAUGUCAAAAAAAUUAAAGGUGCAUUCUUCUUAUUGACCUGAAUGACAUGCAACAUUUCAAAAAAAAAUUUGGCCCCUGUAAAAGUGGAAUAUUGUCUGAUAAGGAGGAGGUCAAAAGGAAAAAAGCAAGAUUUUUAAGAGUCUGGAAAGUUUAGUAGACUUCUCAAACUGUUUCACAGUUCUGAAAAAUAUUUAGACCUUCACACAUCAUAUUUGCUGUAGCUGAAUUGAUUCACCAUAAAAAUAUAAAGACGUGACGCGUCAUAAGCAACUUUGUGGUGUAUGCAUCUCUGCUAUAACAGAAUGCAAUGGCUAAAUUAAAUAUAUGCCUUAUAUGCCUUUUUUUAGAAAUACAAAAUACAAAAGGCUCCAAAAUUUAAUUCCUUACCUAUCCUCUUCUCUUUUUUAAAAGAAGUUUUGUAAUUUCAGUUUUGUUUUACUGGAUUUUUCUGUCCAUGUGUUUUGUUGUUUUCAAUGCAAAAUAAGAUUGUAUACAUCAAAUCGAAAUUAGUGUCUAUGGGUGAGUUGCAAAUAUUUACAAAGUUGUACGUAUAUGCACAUGCGUAUUACAUGACUUCAAAUGCACUGGAAUAGUUUUUUGUCAACUACUUUGUUUGAAAGCAGUACUUAGGAUCUUUGAUUAUUGUGAUCUGUUGUUUAUAUUUUUUGUCUCUACAUAUGCAUGCACAUGUCAAUUCUAUGGUAAGAGAUGUGCUGCACAAAUCUCAGGUUCUUUCAAUCCUACUAUAUACAUAUAGUGUUGUUUUUGUUUUGUACAUUAGGUGUAGAAAUACAAGGAUAUGAUUAGUAGAUUAUCCCCAAAUCUAAAGAUUUUUUGUAACAAUUUCGCCAAUAUAAAUACUGUUUUGCAGUUGCUGUAGGUAAGAAAAAAAUAAAUAACUAUUUGUAGCUUGAGAAAGAAAAUCUUCUUUCAAUCUCAUCUAGACUGUGUCAGUUCUAAACUCAAACUCCUUUGCAUCAAGUCUGUCCUUAUUUCUUCCUCCAAUAUUUAAUAUGUUUUUAAAAUCAGAGUUAUGAACAACUAUGGAAGCUUUGAUGAAUCAAUUUUGGAAUAGUACCAACCCAUCAUCCUUGUCUGAAAGUCGUUACCUUUGGACAGACGCAUUUGCUGUGUGCAACUAUAUAGCACUGUACACAAAGUAUAGCAAUAAAAUAUUUCUCCAUAAAGCAUUGGAACUAGUAGAUAGUGUCCACUUUGUGCUGGGAAGAUAUAGUUUGCAAGAAUCACGUAAGGGUUGGAUAAGUGGCCUUACUGAAGACGAUGGAAAGUUGAACCCUACUCAAAAUGGUCUACGCAUAGGAAAAAAACUUUUAGAGAGAUCUGAACAUGACGCUUAUGAUGAAGACUUGGAGUGGGACCGAGAUGGACAAUACUUUCACUAUUUAACCAAGUGGAUGCAUGCACUGUGCGUUGUUGGUAACACCACUGGUGAUGUAAAGUAUAAAGACUGGGCUGUCAAGCUUGCUCAAGUUGUCCACGACAAAUUUGUGCAUUCAGUUGGAAAAAGAAAAAGAUUGUAUUGGAAAAUGAGUGUGAAUCUAAGCAGACCUUUAAUACAAAGUAUGGGCCACCACGAUCCUUUGGAUGGUCUAAUAACAUACCAGCAAAUUCAGUCCACUUUAUCAGAUGAUGCCAAAACAGUAUUAAGUAGGCAAAUAGCUGAAAUGUUGGGAAUCUGCGAAGGUCGGGAUUGGACGACUACAGAUCCUCUGGGAUUGGGUGGAUUGCUGUGUGAUGCUUAUCGUGUUCAUACGUUACUUGGUAGAGACGACGUUGCGUUAGAUACAAAACUUCUUGAGACAUUGCUACAAUGUGCUUGUAAGGGAUUGGAAGCGUAUGUAAGUAGCAGAGCAGGCCUUGGACUAUACAAAAACUCUGGAUUCCACUACCCGAUCACUUUCACUUUUGUUGGGAGGAGACAGAAAGAAUAGCAAUGUUUUGAUCAUAAAAUUUUAUAUGUUGGUGGAAAAUGAAGAUAUUUGCCUUCCAACGCAAAGUCAUGCCUUAAGACAUGUUUUUCCUGAAAGCUGAUAGCCUAUUUUAUCAAAUAAAACCAGUGGUUUGUGGCUGCCACUUUUUUUCUGAAAGAAAUUGGUCCUUGGAAAUGACCUUUCACAAGACUUCAUAAAUCGGGCACCAGUCCCAAAUUGUUCUAUGAUACAAAACAUGUUGGCACGAUUUCAUUGAAGUAAUUUUGACCCAACAAUUCACAAUUUCAAGCGUCAUUCAAACGUGAUUUGCAUGUGAAGAUUUGUUGACAGAAGCGGUUAAAAAAAAAAGAUGGAACAAUGAUGAAACAGAGGAGCUUGCCGAUUUGCUCGAUUACCACUUUUUGUUGGAUGCGUUUGAAAUAAGAAUAUAUUAUGAAUUGAAAUAAAAAAUACUUGUAAUAGCCUAAUUUGUAAACUAUUUUUAUAUAAUUCAGAUUGACUUUCGUGGUGAAAAAUCUCACGAUUAAGGAAUGGUCUAGGCUGAAAUGUCUAAAAAUGUGUGUGCUUUCGUUUAACACAUAUAUAACUGUACAAUUUUUUUCAUUUUCAAUCAGUUGCUAGUCUAACAACAACAACAAUAAUGAUAAACAUUUAAAGUGUUUCUAGCCCAGAAAAUCACAAAAAUCUAUUGUUAGUGGAUUAUUUCCAUUGGGGUCCACUGAGUCUGAGUGAAGCUAGCUUUCUCACAUUUACGUUUAGUUUUAGCAGGCUUCUAGAAAACUAAUCAAGACCAACCUUGAGCUAGCUAAGGUUACAGAUCACAUGAAUUAUUUUUUUUCCUUUUAAAAUUUAAUUUUAGAAGUAUAAUAAUUUACAUUUCUAAUAGUUGUCAACCAUUUUUUUUGUGAAAACGAAAGUGAAAUGUAUGGUGUAGAAAAGCUCAAAA